UACGUAGGGUGCAGGCGUUAAUCGGAAUUACUGGGCGUAAAGCGUGCGCAGGCGGUUUGCUAAGACAGGCGUGAAAUCCCCGGGCUUAACCUGGGAACUGCGCUUGUAACUGGCAAGCUUGAGUGUGGCAGAGGGGGGUGGAAUUCCACGUGUAGCAGUGAAAUGCGUAGAGAUGUGGAGGAACACCGAUGGCGAAGGCAGCCCCCUGGGCUAACACUGACGCUCAUGCACGAAAGCGUGGGGAGCAAACAGG
RNAcentral lists this ribosomal RNA (253 nucleotides) under uncultured bacterium. RNAcentral's name for it is "partial 16S ribosomal RNA". It matches the Rfam family "Bacterial small subunit ribosomal RNA", at positions 524 to 776 of the family's 1533-position model. The record is from RNAcentral.